Molecule: small RNA, 1655 nt
Filed under: Pan troglodytes (chimpanzee)
Lineage: Eukaryota; Metazoa; Chordata; Mammalia; Primates; Hominidae
Description: retained intron
Source: RNAcentral
AGUCCGCGCCGCAGGUAGUGCUUGUAUGCAGAGCGAUGACUUCUUUCCGCCUGGCCCUCAUCCAGCUUCAGAUUUCUUCCAUCAAAUCAGAUAACGUCACUCGCGCUUGUAGCUUCAUCCGGGAGGCAGCAACGCAAGGAGCCAAAAUAGUUUCUUUGCCGGAAUGCUUUAAUUCUCCAUAUGGAACAAAAUAUUUUCCUGAAUAUGCAGAGAAAAUUCCUGGUGAAUCCACACAGAAGCUUUGUGAAGUAGCAAAGGAAUGCAGCAUAUAUCUCAUUGGAGGCUCUAUCCCUGAAGAGGAUGCUGGGAAAUUAUAUAACACCUGUGCUGUGUUUGGGCCUGAUGGAACUUUACUAGCAAAGUAUAGAAAGCUUACUGCAGAGUGGGUCUGGGCAUCUGCUACGACAUGCGGUUUGCAGAGCUUGCACAAAUCUACGCACAGAGAGGCUGCCAGCUGUUGGUAUAUCCAGGAGCUUUUAAUCUGACCACUGGACCAGCCCAUUGGGAGUUACUUCAGCGAAGCCGGUAAGAAAGGAACCAUAUAUUCAAGCCUCUCGGCAUGUCCUCUUUGUAGAAAGAUUUCCGGUUGGGUGGAGGUGCCAGCCUUCCUGAUGUGGAUUCUGUCCCUGACUCAGGAUGCCCUUGUAUCCAAAUGCAGUUGGAAAGGAUGAAGCUAUAAGGAGGACAACUGCGCGUCACUUUCUCCUCAGAAGCCACAAUACCAACCUCAUGGAUUUUGGAAACUGUACUUUUUUUUUUUUUUUUUUUUUUUUUUAAGAGAUGGGGUCUUACCAUUGCCCAGGCUGGAGUGCAGUGGUGUAAUCGUAGCUCAUUACAGCCUUGAAAUCCUGGGCUCAAGAGAUCGUCCUGCCUCAGCCUCCUGAGUAGCUGGGACUACAAACAUGUGCCACCAUGCCUUGCUAAUUUUUUAUUUUUUGUAGAGAUAGAGCCUCACUCUGUUGAUCAAGCUGGUCUCAAUCUCCUGGCCUCAAGCGAUCUUCCCGCCUCAGCCUUUCAAAGUGCUGGGAUUACAGGUGUGAGCCCCAAGCCCUGCCGGAACUGUGGUUUUGGCAUUUUCAAUAUUCAGUGUGUUAGAUGGGAAGGGAUUUCAUUUUUCUGUGAUUAGAUGUGGAUUGGUCCCUCUUAAGUCAGUUCCAGUAACUUUUACAGAGAAAUUGAGAACCACAGAGCUUAUGUCUUCAGAGCCCCAGAAGCCAAUUAAAAGGCAGGGAUUAGUUUAGCUUGACCUAGGGAGAGAUUUGUGGUCUGUACCCAGCUGAUUCUAUGCCAUUCAGAUCAGGAUGCUUAUCCUACCCCCUACUUCACACCAUCCUACUAGUCCUGAGGGUACUGUGCCAAGAAACUCAUGAGAAGCUCUUGUUCUUCUAACCUAUAACUCCAGGGCUUUGCACAAGCAUCUUUGGCAGGUCACAGGUGCCUUUCCUUAGUCUUCUAAGGCUGAGAGGUGGUGAAGGGCAAAUAGCAUAGGUGGACAUAAGAUGGAAGGGAAAAUGAAUGUGACUGUGAGUGUGUCUGUCUGUCUGUAAAGUGCUCUACAGCCCAUGAAAUGCUGGUCUGAGAUGAUGGUUUUCUUUAGAAUUUUUAAAAGUUGAAGUAAUACAAAAAAAGUGUACUAAUUUUAAGCAUAUAGGUUG